Molecule: non-coding RNA, 98 nt
Organism: Acanthosepion pharaonis
Lineage: Eukaryota; Metazoa; Mollusca; Cephalopoda; Sepiida; Sepiidae
Source: the annotation of a GenBank genome assembly
CGUUGAAAUACCGAUUCCCUUAUGAUCACCGAAGUUAAGCAACGUCGAAUGUGGUCAGUACAUAGAUGCAUGACCGCUUGGGAAUACCAGGUGCCAUA